Molecule: ribosomal RNA, 273 nt
Filed under: uncultured bacterium
Lineage: Bacteria
Description: partial 16S ribosomal RNA
Rfam family: Bacterial small subunit ribosomal RNA
Source: RNAcentral
AUACGUAUGUCGCAAGCGUUAUCCGGAAUUAUUGGGCGUAAAGCGAGUCUAGGCGGCUUGUUAAGUCAGAUGUGAAAAUGCGGGGCUCAACUCCAUAUUGCGUUUGAAACUGGCAGGCUAGAGUACUGGAGAGGUGGGCGGAACUACAAGUGUAGAGGUGAAAUUCGUAGAUAUUUGUAGGAAUGCCGAUAGUGAAGACAGCUCACUGGACAGAUACUGACGCUAAAGCUCGAAAGCGUGGGGAGCGAACAGGAUUAGAAACCCCAGUAGUCC